GCAUGCUAUUAAAUGGACCUUUGAGACCACACGGCACUGCACUGGUCUACGGUCUGGAUGUGUGAACGCCGAACGCGUUGAUAUACUGUUUAAAAAAAAAACAACAUAAAAAUAUAGUAUUAACAAAAAAAAAAAAUAAAACUUGUAAAUUAGUCGAAAACACAAAAAGCUAUAUAUAUUUAUUAUGUAUUAUAUUAUAUUUUAGUAUAUUUAAUUACAAAGUCCGAUUGACAGAAUAUCAAUGGAACCCAACUGUAGCAAAUGACUGUAGAACUUGUUUUAUUAUUACUUUUCCAUUCCAAGCCAUUUGACAGCAUUAAAAUAUGAUUUUCCCUUAGCGACAAAUAAUUUAUUUAACGUCAAAAAGGGUUGGAAACCACAACAUAAACCGAGUAACCGACAAGUAUGCACUAUGCAUGGUAUAAUAAAAUGUAAAAGCGAUAUCACCAUUUACAGUGCAAGAGGCGUUACCAAGUGUCAUAUACUUAAACGGAUACAAGCAUAAAAUAAAAGCAGUUCAUACACAAUUUCAAAAUGUAACGACGUAUUCUUCCUCUGGGUUUUGAAAUUCCGAGGGGAAAUUUAUUCUUGAACUUGGCUAAAACUUAUCAUUAUCCGUCAAUUGUAAAAUAACAUUCACAAGUUCCUUGACGACCUUGAGCUCUAGGGGUCACCGACUUGAAGACCUAAAAAUUCGCUCAUAAAAGUGCUACUUUCUUAGGACUUUUUUUCCUUAUAAAUGUACUCAACGUAUACGAUUUUUUGAGUGUAUAAUAUAAGCAAAAUGCUGUGUAGUA
Adelges cooleyi (spruce gall adelgid) is the source of this 797-nucleotide long non-coding RNA. RefSeq lists it as uncharacterized. The transcript is spliced from 4 exons. NCBI's taxonomy places the organism in Eukaryota, Metazoa, Arthropoda, Insecta, Hemiptera, Adelgidae. The record is from RefSeq and is a predicted model, not a curated record.